Molecule: unclassified non-coding RNA, 252 nt
Filed under: plant metagenome
Description: partial contains small subunit ribosomal RNA and internal transcribed spacer 1
Rfam family: Eukaryotic small subunit ribosomal RNA (bases 1-46)
Source: RNAcentral
AAGUCGUAACAAGGUUUCCGUAGGUGAACCUGCGGAAGGAUCAUUACAGUAUUCUAUUGCCAGCGCUUAAUUGCGCGGCGAUAAAACCCUUACACACUUUGUUUUUUAUUAUUAAAGACACCAUUGCUUUGGUGGAUGAGUGUAAAAGCUUGUCCGCCAGAGGUUAACUAAACUCAAUUAUUUAAAGGUAACUUUUUAAAUUGUCAAUAAUAAUUUGCCUGAUUAAUUUCGGAGAAAACAAAAUAUUUAAAA